GAUGAACGCUGGCGGCGUGCCUAAUACAUGCAAGUCGAGCGAACAGACGAGGAGCUUGCUCCUCUGACGUUAGCGGCGGACGGGUGAGUAACACGUGGAUAACCUACCUAUAAGACUGGGAUAACUUCGUGAAACCGGAGCUAAUACCGGAUAAUAUAUUGAACCGCAUGGUUCAAUAGUGAAAGACGGUUUUGCUGUCACUUAUAGAUGGAUCCGCGCCGCAUUAGCUAGUUGGUAAGGUAACGGCUUACCAAGGCGACGAUGCGUAGCCGACCUGAGAGGGUGAUCGGCCACACUGGAGCUGAGACACGGUCCAGACUCCUACGGGAGGCAGCAGUAGGGAAUCUUCCGCAAUGGGCGAAAGCGUGACGGAGCAACGCGGCGUGAGUGAUGAAGGUCUUCGGAUCGUAAAACUCUGUUAUUAGGGAAGAACAAAUGUGUAAGUAACUAUGCACGUCUGGACGGUACCUAAGCAGAAAGCCACGGCUAACUACGU
Molecule: ribosomal RNA, 496 nt
Filed under: uncultured bacterium
Lineage: Bacteria
Description: partial 16S ribosomal RNA
Rfam family: Bacterial small subunit ribosomal RNA
Source: RNAcentral